CAGUCGCCGCGGUAAUACGUAGGGUGCGAGCGUUAAUUGGAAUUACUGGGCGUAAAGCGUGCGCAAGCGGUUGUGUAAGACAGGUGUGAAAUCCCCGGGCUUAACCUGGGAACUGCGCUUGUGACUGCACAGCUAGAGUAUGGCAGAGGGGGGUGGAAUUCCACGUGUAGCAGUGAAAUGCGUAGAGAUGUGGAGGAACACCGAUGGCGAAGGCAGCCCCCUGGGCCAAUACUGACGCUCAUGCGCGAAAGCGUGGGGAGCAAACAGGAUUAGAUACCCGCGUAGUCCCUGUCUCUUAUAC
RNAcentral lists this ribosomal RNA (301 nucleotides) under uncultured bacterium. Its description in RNAcentral is "partial 16S ribosomal RNA". It matches the Rfam family "Bacterial small subunit ribosomal RNA", at positions 509 to 807 of the family's 1533-position model. The record is from RNAcentral.